Molecule: ribosomal RNA, 413 nt
Filed under: uncultured bacterium
Lineage: Bacteria
Description: bacterial SSU rRNA
Rfam family: Bacterial small subunit ribosomal RNA
Source: RNAcentral
GACGAACGCUGGCGGCGCGCCUAACACAUGCAAGUCGAACGAGCGAGAGAGAGCUUGCUUUCUCGAGCGAGUGGCGAACGGGUGAGUAACGCGUGAGGAACCUGCCUCAAAGAGGGGGACAACAGUUGGAAACGACUGCUAAUACCGCAUAAGCCCACGGGUCUGCAUCGACCAGAGGGAAAAGGAGCAAUCCGCUUUGAGAUGGCCUCGCGUCCGAUUAGCUAGUUGGUGAGGUAACGGCCCACCAAGGCGACGAUCGGUAGCCGGACUGAGAGGUUGAACGGCCACAUUGGGACUGAGACACGGCCCAGACUCCUACGGGAGGCAGCAGUGGGGAAUAUUGCACAAUGGGGGAAACCCUGAUGCAGCGACGCCGCGUGGAGGAAGAAGGUCUUCGGAUUGUAAACUCCUGU